Molecule: ribosomal RNA, 104 nt
Filed under: Pteropus alecto (black flying fox)
Lineage: Eukaryota; Metazoa; Chordata; Mammalia; Chiroptera; Pteropodidae
Source: RNAcentral
GCUAAUGAGUUCCUUGCAAUCUGUGAGGUCAACCAAUUAAGCAGGGUCGGGCCUGGUUAGUACUUGGAUGGGAGACCACCUGGGAAGACCAGGUGCUGUAGGCA